Glycine soja is the source of this 1748-nucleotide RNA transcript. RefSeq lists it as uncharacterized. NCBI's taxonomy places the organism in Eukaryota, Viridiplantae, Streptophyta, Magnoliopsida, Fabales, Fabaceae. The record is from RefSeq and is a predicted model, not a curated record. The transcript is spliced from 4 exons.
CAAAUUUGGGGGUAUUUGGUAACUAGUAAGAUCACUAUCAGUACUAUCGCGCACUACUUACUUCUGUUGGAACGAGAGCCCCUCUCUCUGCGACUCUGCUUCGGUUCUUCCUUCAGUUCACCAGCUGCAGACAAUGGCAGACAAGAAGCGGAAGGAGAGGAAUGAAGGCAACCGCCAAAGACCGAAGUCGAAGAAGAAGCGGCCAAACACUCAACAGAAGGAGAGGGGCCCUUGUUUGCCCUCAUCUUUGCAAAAACAGCUUGACUGUUUAAACCCUACCACUUCCUUUGACAGCAUUGAUUCUGACGACUACAAUGACAAUGAUGUACACGAGUACAAGGAAGAACGAGCUGAGGAGGUGUCCACCAAGAAUAAGCGUUACAACCCUGGUUUUGUCGUCCAGGAUGACCUUUCUCAUCAAUUUGAGGAUGAGAAUGCGUAAUCUGAUGUUGAAAGUGAGGAUGAUGAUUACUCGAAUGAAAAUGCUCUUAGUGACGAUUCUGGAGAGGAAGAUGAUGGAAGGCACACAAGGAUGCUACAAGCAAUUACUAGCAUGCCAAGUGAGGCUUUUCAAGUAGCUUAACAUGGACCUUGAAGCUGCAAAAGAAUGUUCCAUGAAACGCGAGCGCCAAAGGGCUGAGGACGCAUGACGCCAACCUCCUUUCUCUUUUUGCCGCAAAACUAUCCCAACCUAUCUUCCUCACCUCCAUAACCACCACUCCACCAAACAUCACAACCCUCAAGUGAAGCGCCCAACACUAGCCCAAUAAGAUGAAGGUGACUUGCGAUGAGUGAAGAUUUGACCCAAAAAUUGCCCUUUCCCCCUCGAAUCUACUGCAGAAGUGAAGAUUUGAAGAGGUACCUCGUGCGAUUAUGGCAUGGCAUGGCAGUGCCAGAGUGGUGGCAUCGGCAAGUGUAUGUUCUAAGAAGGAUCUGAAAUUUUUAUUUUUAUUUUUGUUAAAUUUGAUUCUCAAGUUCUCAUCUUUUUACUGUUUUUGUACUGUUUUUGAUAGUUUAUAAGAUAGUGAUUUUGUUUUGAUGAGGUUCUCUUGGAUCUUGUUUUAUGUUUUUUCCCAGGGAGAAAUUUCUAUGGAUUGUUAGUGUUGAAGGUCAUGUUUUUUAUGAUUGUUUAGUAGUCUUGAAGUGUUCUUGAAAGAAUUUUCUUUUUUGUGUUUUGAAAUUUCAGAAACUGUUUGAGGUGUGUUCUUGUAAUGGUGUUAUUGAAAGCAAAUGUCUAAGAAGAUGAUGAGGGUAUUUUGGAACAAAAAUUUCAUUAAAUCACUUGUGCACAACACAUGAUGUGCUAAAAUAAAUGGAACAGGGGUAGAUGUGUAAUGGAAUUGAAAACUUAAGGGGAUUUUGUGUAGGGGUUCAACAAUGAGUGAGUGAGUGUAAUAAGUCUUAACAAUGAGUGAGUGUGAGUGUAAUAAGUCUUAAACUGGGGAGAUAAGUAUAAUUUGCUCAAAGAUUAAUGGACAAGAGUUUUGGUUCUGAUCCAAUUCUAGAAAUAUUCUCAGUUUUCAAUCCUUGGGAAAGUCAAUAAACUUUGCCAGGUUAAAGAAAAUUUCCAAGAUACAAGAAAAAAGAGGUGGAGAAUUUACCAGGCAAGGAAGGCUGAAGCUUAUGGCAUGCAAGAAAGGGAAGAAAAUAGAACUCAAGUCCAAAAAAAGUUUUCUUUUUGGGGGGCUUCCUCUUGUGUAUUAUCAGUGUCAAGUUGAAUUGCUGUUGAUUAUUAUUUUCACACUUAA